Podarcis lilfordi (Lilford's wall lizard) is the source of this 74-nucleotide non-coding RNA. NCBI's taxonomy places the organism in Eukaryota, Metazoa, Chordata, Lepidosauria, Squamata, Lacertidae. The record is from the annotation of a GenBank genome assembly.
UCCUGGGAUAGCUCAGUCGGUAGAGCAUGAGAUUCUUAAUCUCAGGGUAGUGGGUUUAAGCCUCGCACUAGGCA